This 467-nucleotide ribosomal RNA is filed under the name uncultured bacterium. RNAcentral describes it as "partial 16S ribosomal RNA". It matches the Rfam family "Bacterial small subunit ribosomal RNA", at positions 28 to 507 of the family's 1533-position model. The record is from RNAcentral.
GAUGAACGCUGGCGGCGUGCUUAACACAUGCAAGUCGAACGGAAAGGCCCAAGCUUGCUUGGGUACUCGAGUGGCGAACGGGUGAGUAACACGUGGGUGAUCUGCCCUGCACUUCGGGAUAAGCCUGGGAAACUGGGUCUAAUACUGGAUAGGACCACUUCUUGGAUGUUGUGGUGGAAAGUUUUUUCGGUGUGGGAUGAGCUCGCGGCCUAUCAGCUUGUUGGUGGGGUAAUGGCCUACCAAGGCGUCGACGGGUAGCCGGCCUGGGAGGGUGUACGGCCACAUUGGGACUGGGAUACGGCCCAGACUCCUACGGGAGGCAGCAGGGGGGAAUAUUGCACAAUGGGCGCAAGCCUGAUGCAGCGACGCCGCGGGGGGGAUGACGGCCUUCGGGUUGGAAACUCCUUUCGCUAGGGACGAAGCGUUUUGUGACGGUACCUGGAGAAGAAGCACCGGCUAACUACGUG